UAACGUUCCCGGGCCUUGUACACACCGCCCGUCAAGUCACGAAAGUCGGUAACACCCGAAGCCGGUGGCCCAACCCUUGUGGAGGGAGCCGUCGAAGGUGGGACUGGCGAUUGGGACU
This 118-nucleotide ribosomal RNA is filed under the name uncultured bacterium. RNAcentral describes it as "partial 16S ribosomal RNA". It matches the Rfam family "Bacterial small subunit ribosomal RNA", at positions 1366 to 1482 of the family's 1533-position model. The record is from RNAcentral.